RNAcentral lists this long non-coding RNA (956 nucleotides) under Phoenix dactylifera (date palm). Its description in RNAcentral is "long non-coding RNA (PDAC_LNC016762)". Lineage: Eukaryota; Viridiplantae; Streptophyta; Magnoliopsida; Arecales; Arecaceae. The record is from RNAcentral.
GAAAGUAUUGGUUGUAGAAUUUACCUUUAAAUUCCUCCCAUGUCAGUUGUUCACCAUUUCCUUGAACAGCAGCCUUCAUAGCUAUCCACCAGAACUUAGCGUUUCCUUUGAGCAUAGGAACCGCCAAUUUGACCUUGACCUCCUCGGAAAUUGUAGGGCAUCAUACAUCUCCUCUAUCUCCCGAAUCCAAGCCUCCGCAGCCAAGUAAUCAGCACCUCCCUCAAACAUUGGAGGGUGCAGCCUCCGAAAUUUCUCAUAAUAGGUAUCGGUAGACGACACAGGUCGGAAGGAGAGCUGCGUCUGCUGCUGCUGCUGAAGAAGCUGUGCCACUACUUGGCAUACCCCAGCAAGAUCUGCCUGAGUAGCUACAACAUUUGGGGCUGGCCUAGCUGGCAUGUUGGUAGCUUCUUGCGUGACAGGGGGCAUGUUGUUCGCGAGCAUGCGACACAGGGGGCUCUCUUGAAUAUCCUAAGCCCGAAGGGGGGGGGGGAUCAAAUCAUGAGCAGGGAUUUAAGCAAACCAGCAUGUUUGGAAUUAAUAGCCUGAACCGUGCUGAUCCCCUACUGGUCCAACUCGGUGAACCAUGUUGCCAAUUGAGUGCUGCAAAGCAUUACUAAAAUUACUUCAGUUAGUGUCAUAUUUUUUAUGAUCACCUUACUAUUUUUCAUUCUUUUGGUAUUCGUGUCUUGUUCAAUGGUUAAAGCAUCUAUUCUACAUCGACAAGCUUUUUGGGUAUAGCCUUCCUUGGAUUCUCACCUCUUAUUCUUGACAUUGUUUCCCUUUAUUGCUUUGUUUGGAUUUUGUCCUCUUUUCUUCUUGUUGGGCCCACUGACAUCCCUAGAUGCUGUUCAAGACUGUGGGAGGGUUGUUUCUAAUAUUCUAUUAUGUUUGGAUAUUGUUCCUUUUAGUUCAGUUUGUGAAAAUCAUUCUUAUAUUCCUUCUGACAUUCUUCAACU